RNAcentral lists this ribosomal RNA (429 nucleotides) under uncultured bacterium. RNAcentral describes it as "bacterial SSU rRNA". It matches the Rfam family "Bacterial small subunit ribosomal RNA", at positions 355 to 776 of the family's 1533-position model. The record is from RNAcentral.
UGGGGAAUAUUGCACAAUGGGGGAAACCCUGAUGCAGCCAUGCCGCGUGUGUGAAGAAGGCCUUCGGGUUGUAAAGCACUUUCAGUUGUGAGGAAAAGUUAGUAGUUAAUACCUGCUAGCCGUGACGUUAACAACAGAAGAAGCACCGGCUAACUCCGUGCCAGCAGCCGCGGUAAUACGGAGGGUGCGAGCGUUAAUCGGAAUUACUGGGCGUAAAGCGCACGCAGGCGGUUUGUUAAGCUAGAUGUGAAAGCCCCGGGCUCAACCUGGGAUGGUCAUUUAGAACUGGCAGACUAGAGUCUUGGAGAGGGGAGUGGAAUUCCAGGUGUAGCGGUGAAAUGCGUAGAUAUCUGGAGGAACAUCAGUGGCGAAGGCGACUCCCUGGCCAAAGACUGACGCUCAUGUGCGAAAGUGUGGGUAGCGAACAGG